GAUGAAGAACGCAGCGAAAUGCGAUAAGUAAUGUGAAUCGCAGAAUUCAGUGAAUCAUCGAAUCUUUGAACGCACAUUGCGCCCCUCGGUAUUCCGAGGGGCAUGCCUGUUCGAGCGUCAUUAUAACCCUUCAAGCUCAGCUUGGUGUUGGGGCCUGCUGUAACUGGUAGCCCUUAAAAUCAGUGGCAGUGCUAUUAGGCUCUAAGCGUAGUAAUUCUUCUCGCUAUAGUGUGUAGUGAGCGCUUGCCAGAACCCCAAACUUUUAUAUGAUUGACCUCGGAUCAGGUAGGGAUACCCGCUGAACUUAAGCAUAUCAAUAAGCGGAGGA
This 328-nucleotide unclassified non-coding RNA is filed under the name soil metagenome. Its description in RNAcentral is "partial contains 5.8S ribosomal RNA, internal transcribed spacer 2, and large subunit ribosomal RNA". The stretch from base 1 to 120 matches the Rfam family "5.8S ribosomal RNA", at positions 35 to 154 of the family's 154-position model. The record is from RNAcentral.